Molecule: long non-coding RNA, 1137 nt
Filed under: Oryctolagus cuniculus (rabbit)
Lineage: Eukaryota; Metazoa; Chordata; Mammalia; Lagomorpha; Leporidae
Description: lncRNA (ENSOCUG00000035095.1)
Source: RNAcentral
GGCAUUCCAAGUACCAUCGCAUUUGCUGUGCCAGAUGCCUGCCUUAGAAAAGAUUUAAGUUGAGGAACUUGUAUGGGUCACAAUGUGAAAAGGCGUUGUGAGUUCUUGUUGAUGGAACUUCGGCCUGGGGCGUGUUCUAGAUCUUGGAACUCUAUUGCUCCCUUGCAGAUCUUAUGCCUUGUACUGCGGGAGCUUCCCCUUCGUAACUCCCUGCAUAUAUGAGCCUGCUCUGUAUUGAAAGUGGUAUACCUUGACCACAUUCCCUUUAUAUACGUGUCUUAAACUUCCUAGGAUACAUUUUUUAUUAGUUGAGAAAGAGAGAGAGAGAAGGAAAGAGAGAAAGGGUGCUAUUUUCUACUUGUUCACUCUUUUAAUUCCUUCAGUGGCUGGGAUUGGGCCAGGGCUGAAGCCAGAAGUCAGAAACUCAAUCUGGGUUCCUCACAUGGGUGUUUAUAACUCAAGUGCUUGAUCCAUCUCUGCUGCUUCCCAGGGUGCACACUGGCAGGAAUCUAGAACUGGAUAAUGAACUCAAGUACUACAAUGUGCCAAAGACAGCAUAAAGGCAUCUCUGCACAGAGUUUCCUCCAGGAUGCAGGCCAUAGGCCAUGUGCUGCUCAGCACCUCCUGGUACAUGCAGCAGCUCCUGGGUGUCACCGAGGAAGGGCAGCCACCCAAAGACAAGGCUUCAUCUUUCAUCCCGACUGGUCUAAAGAUAGCUCCCAGAUGGCUCAAGGCAAUUGAGGCUGGAUCCAGUCAGUGACGAGAUUAGAGAACCCAUGCUCAACUGGUAGCACCAACAAGUCAGCAGUGAUAAAACCUUCUUACCAACUCAUACCUCUGUCACCACCACACAUGGGGAAGCAGGAGAAAAAGCUGGAAUUCUAGGGUGGGCUGUUCAAAGAAGAACUUCAGGUUCUUCCCUGUCCCGUUCUUUCUUGCCAAAGUUGAGUUAACUGGCAGAGCCCUCACUAAUGGACUGUGCAUAAAGCAUGAAGAGUGCUCCCCAGUCAUCUGUCUUCACAUGUCCACUUACAUGACACCCCCUGCCUCCUGGACCCCCAUCCUAGAAUUCUCUUGAAUGAGCUCUCAAUCCCAAUGAUAUAUGAUACCUUUAUAUGCUGAUAAAUAAGAAAUAGU